AGAGUUUGACUCCUGGCUCAGGACGAACGCUGGCGGCGUGCUUAACACAUGCAAGUCGAACGAUGACGACAGGGCUUGCCUUGUCUGAUUAGUGGCGAACGGGUGAGUAACACGUGAGUAACCUGCCCCCUCUUCGGGAUAACCUCGGGAAAUCGGGGCUAAUACCGGAUAUGACUUCGCACCGCAUGGUGUGUUGUGGAAAGUUUUUCGGUGGGGGAUGGACUCGCGGCCUAUCAGUUUGUUGGUGAGGUAAUGGCUCACCAAGGCGAUGACGGGUAGCCGGCCUGAGAGGGCGACCGGCCACACUGGGACUGAGACACGGCCCAGACUCCUACGGGAGGCAGCAGUGGGGAAUAUUGCACAAUGGGCGAAAGCCUGAUGCAGCGACGCCGCGUGGGGGAUGACGGCCUUCGGGUUGUAAACCUCUUUCAGUAGGGAAGAAGCGAAAGUGACGGUACCUGCAGAAGAAGCGCCGGCUAACUACGUG
RNAcentral lists this ribosomal RNA (487 nucleotides) under uncultured Brachybacterium sp. RNAcentral's name for it is "bacterial SSU rRNA". It matches the Rfam family "Bacterial small subunit ribosomal RNA", at positions 8 to 507 of the family's 1533-position model. Lineage: Bacteria; Bacillati; Actinomycetota; Actinomycetes; Micrococcales; Dermabacteraceae. The record is from RNAcentral.